Molecule: unclassified non-coding RNA, 400 nt
Filed under: soil metagenome
Description: partial contains 5.8S ribosomal RNA, internal transcribed spacer 2, and large subunit ribosomal RNA
Rfam family: 5.8S ribosomal RNA (bases 1-120)
Source: RNAcentral
GAUGAAGAACGUAGCGAAAUGCGAUAAGUAAUGUGAAUUGCAGAAUUCAGUGAAUCAUCGAAUCUUUGAACGCACCUUGCACUCCUUGGUAUUCCGAGGAGUAUGCCUGUUCGAGUAUCAUGAAACUCUCAAACCUCAUCUUCAUUGAUGACGGGCUUGGAUUUGGACGCUUGCUGGACCUUACCGUUCGGCUCGUCUUGAAUGCAUUAGCUGACGAUUUCGACUUCAGUUAAACCGUGUGAUAAUACAUCAACGCGGGCAGCCGUCAAGGCGCUGAGUCGUUAGACGAAGGCUUCUAACCGUCCCUUCGAGGACCGCCUUAACUGGUGUUUCAUUUCAAAUUUGGUCUCGAAUCAGGUAGGACUACCCGCUGAACUUAAGCAUAUCAAUAAGCGGAGGA